This 541-nucleotide ribosomal RNA is filed under the name Escherichia coli. RNAcentral describes it as "partial 23S ribosomal RNA". It matches the Rfam family "Bacterial large subunit ribosomal RNA", at positions 1006 to 1549 of the family's 2925-position model. RNAcentral also lists the same sequence under 2 other names. The record is from RNAcentral. Lineage: Bacteria; Pseudomonadati; Pseudomonadota; Gammaproteobacteria; Enterobacterales; Enterobacteriaceae.
CGUCGUGAAGAGGGAAACAACCCAGACCGCCAGCUAAGGUCCCAAAGUCAUGGUUAAGUGGGAAACGAUGUGGGAAGGCCCAGACAGCCAGGAUGUUGGCUUAGAAGCAGCCAUCAUUUAAAGAAAGCGUAAUAGCUCACUGGUCGAGUCGGCCUGCGCGGAAGAUGUAACGGGGCUAAACCAUGCACCGAAGCUGCGGCAGCGACGCUUAUGCGUUGUUGGGUAGGGGAGCGUUCUGUAAGCCUGUGAAGGUGUGCUGUGAGGUAUGCUGGAGGUAUCAGAAGUGCGAAUGCUGACAUAAGUAACGAUAAAGCGGGUGAAAAGCCCGCUCGCCGGAAGACCAAGGGUUCCUGUCCAACGUUAAUCGGGGCAGGGUGAGUCGACCCCUAAGGCGAGGCCGAAAGGCGUAGUCGAUGGGAAACAGGUUAAUAUUCCUGUACUUGGUGUUACUGCGAAGGGGGGACGGAGAAGGCUAUGUUGGCCGGGCGACGGUUGUCCCGGUUUAAGCGUGUAGGCUGGUUUUCCAGGCAAAUCCGGAAAA